Molecule: long non-coding RNA, 467 nt
Organism: Hydra vulgaris (swiftwater hydra)
Lineage: Eukaryota; Metazoa; Cnidaria; Hydrozoa; Anthoathecata; Hydridae
Source: RefSeq, a predicted model, not a curated record
GAACGUUUUCUGACUGGCAGAAGGAUAUUCAGUUUUCUUUUUGCCCAACCUUGUCAGUCUGGUGCUAAAAAGAAGAGAUAGAACCACAUUUAUGUGUAAACACUGACAGAGGAAUAAAAGGACUAGUUUAUUAUGAAUACACCACAUUGGUUUGUGCAGGUAAACGAUUUGCUGCUUUCUGUUACAUUUGGAAUGCAGUCCAUGUGAUACCAUCGACUUGUGAAAAUGUUUAAUACCAAAUUUUUCCUUCGAAUCAAAGCUGUUUUAUUUGGUAACACUUCUUGUGAUAGUAAUCCGGCUGGUGCUAGUACUUCAAUUUUGUUCUUACAUGAAAAAAAGAAUUGUGAAUUUUAGCAUUGUAAAUCAUGUUAUAAUGUUUUAUUUAUAAAAAUAGUUUUUAAAUUUACAUGUUUUAUAAGAAAUAUUGUAUUGUAAACUGGCUUAAAAUUCAGAAUUUUAGUUUUAAA